This is a long non-coding RNA of Bos taurus (domestic cattle), 1006 nucleotides long. Lineage: Eukaryota; Metazoa; Chordata; Mammalia; Artiodactyla; Bovidae. The record is from Ensembl.
GGGGCGGGGUGCUGAGAGGAAGGGAGGAAGGAAGGAAUGCCAAUACAUGGACAUAUAAUAGAAGCAACUGGUAACUCGAAUCCCCAGGACCAAAUAGCCAACGGCUGAGUUUCGGAUGGUAUUUCAGAACCAUCCAUUUGAGGGAAACAAAGGAAAAGAAUUUAUGCCUUGGCUCCCACCCCCGCAAUGGUCAGAGGUUGUCCUAUGGGGCACUAACUACCCUGCAUUUGUAGGUUGCACAUGUGUGGGCAUUAGCAGUUCCAUGGCUACUCCCUUGAUAGAGAUGUGCUGGGUAGGAGGAGAGGCAGGGCCGGUCAAGAUGCACCUGAAUGAAACCAGCUGAAGCCCAUGCAGAUUAUUUUUGUGCAUGCUGCUGCUGCUGCUGCUGCUGCUGCUAAGUUGCUUCAGUUGUGUCCGACUCUGUGCUACCCCAGAGACAGCAGCCCACCAGGCUCCCCAUCCCUGGGAUUCUCCAGGCAAGAACACUGGAAUGGGUUGCCAUUUCCUUCUCCAAUGCAGGAAAGUGGAAAGUGAAAGUGAAGUCCCUCCGUCAUGUCCGACUCUUAGCGACCCCAUGGACUGCAGCCCACCAGGCUCCUCCAUCCAUGGGAUUUGCCAGGCAAAAGUACUAGAGUGCGGUGCCAUUGCCUUCUCCGUUUUGUACAUGCAGAAGGUUGCAAAUCUUUACUUCACAAAGGAGUUGAUCCAAAAGUGUAGAGAGGCAGCUGUUUUAUAUUAUCUAAGCUGGCUCUUCUGCUGAUGUCAUUCUCCCCAAAUUUCCUUGGAAAGAUAACCACAAAGGAUACUUGGCUCCUCUCAGGGAGUCGGGUUGCCGAGGGAGCCAGGAGUCAGGACAGGCUCUAAGAACUCUGGGGACCAAAGAAGGAGCCUCCUGACACAUGACUGGAUUUAUAUUUAAAUUUGUUUUUUCCUGCUUUGUUCCGUAUCAGUGACUCAAGAACUAAAAGAGGAAAAAUUAUGACUAGUGACUCCAACAGUGAAAUAU